UGCUCUCUCUCAUGGUUUUAUUGUAAGUUGCUGUAAUUUGCUAAGUUAUCAUUCAGACAUAGACGGCACUUUGCUCUGGUUAUUAUUAGUUGUUUGUGUUCCAGGACUUUAUGGGUGAAGUUUUCCCUUCAGCAGCAUCAGCAUACUUCCUCCUGGAGUAUUGAAAAGGUCAGCACAACUCAUGCAGUAAUUGCACAUGCGUUUUAAACACAUGUAACAGUCUGGGAGCUGAGGUAUUGGAAUUAUAUGUUUAGGUUUUUGAUAUUUUGUUGCGUUAGUAUCCUGUUUUUAAGACAUUCUUAUGCAUUAGUAGCCAGUUUUUGGAC
This is a long non-coding RNA of Amphiprion ocellaris (clown anemonefish), 326 nucleotides long. The record is from Ensembl. Lineage: Eukaryota; Metazoa; Chordata; Actinopteri; Pomacentridae.